This 253-nucleotide ribosomal RNA is filed under the name uncultured bacterium. RNAcentral describes it as "partial 16S ribosomal RNA". It matches the Rfam family "Bacterial small subunit ribosomal RNA", at positions 524 to 776 of the family's 1533-position model. The record is from RNAcentral.
UACGUAGGGUCCGAGCGUUGUCCGGAAUUACUGGGCGUAAAGGGCUCGUAGGCGGCCAACUAAGUCAUACGUGAAAUCCCUCGGCUUAACCGGGGAACUGCGUCUGAUACUGGAUGGCUUGAGUUCGGGAGAGGGAUGCGGAAUUCCAGGUGUAGCGGUGAAAUGCGUAGAUAUUGGGAGGAACACCAGUGGCUAAGGCGGCUACCUGGACCGGUUCUGACGCUGAGGCGCGAAAGCGUGGGUAGCAAACAGG